RNAcentral lists this unclassified non-coding RNA (579 nucleotides) under Hevea brasiliensis (rubber tree). The record is from RNAcentral. Lineage: Eukaryota; Viridiplantae; Streptophyta; Magnoliopsida; Malpighiales; Euphorbiaceae.
ACAAAUCCCAAUUAAUUUAUGCAUGAACCCCCAACUCUGAAAUCAUUUUACUAUUAAUUAGCAUUUAAUUUCAAUUGCCCAUUAUUUAUUUAGUUCAAUUGCAUCUAGAUUUAAAAUUUAUUUGCUUGCUCUUUAUCUAUUUUGUUUAGAUUUAUCAAUUUUACCUAGUUCAUUUACAUUUACAUCUUACAUUCAUUAAUCAUUGGCCCAAAUAAUCGCUUUAUUCAUAUUUUGGUACUCAAACAGAAAAUCCUCGUGAGAAUGAUACUUGACUUAUCACUUUAUUACUUGAUACGACUCGUAUACUUGUGGAUUCAUGCAUGAAGUUUUUGGCGACAUUGCUGGGGAUUUGAUUUUUGCUCGAUAUUGAACGAUGGUCUGUUUGGUUAAUUUGAGUAUUUUAUUUUAUUUUUAAUUUUUUUAAGUAUGCUUAUGCACUAGCAAUGCAAAAAUAAUUAAUACAAUUUUAAAUGUCAAUUAGCUAUGCCCUUUGCCCUCUGGUCAACCCUCGUGGUUAGUGGAAAGUAUAUCUUCUCCUGUUAAACUCUUUAAUUGCAACUCUUUUUUUUUUUUUUUUUU